This 323-nucleotide ribosomal RNA is filed under the name uncultured eukaryote. Its description in RNAcentral is "partial 18S ribosomal RNA". It matches the Rfam family "Eukaryotic small subunit ribosomal RNA", at positions 1470 to 1796 of the family's 1831-position model. The record is from RNAcentral.
CCCUUAGAUGUUCUGGGCCGCACGCGCGCUACACUGAUGCAUUCAACGAGUUUCUUCCUGGUCCGAGAGGAAUGGGUAACCUUUUGAAAGUGCAUCGUGAUAGGGAUAGACUAUUGCAAUUAUUGGUCUUCAACGAGGAAUUCCUAGUAGACGUAGUUCAUCAGACUGCAUGGAUUACGUCCCUGCCCUUUGUACACACCGCCCGUCGCUCCUACCGAUUGAAUGUUCCGGUGAGCUCUUCGGACUGCGCGGUCUGCAGUUUCUGCGUUCCGUGCGGAAAGUUGCGCAAACCUUAACAUUUAGAGGAAGGAGAAGUCGUAACA